AUUUUUUUAAUAUGAAAAUAUAUUAACAAACAACAUAAAUCAGUCAUAGGCUCGUAGCACAUCAACAUAAAUAUAAAUAAUAUUGACGAUUAAGAGAGUGAUUAUUAGCCAAUUACAUACACAAUAUAUCCCAAAAAGAGCAUCAUCAGUGUUAUACUAUAUCCAAAAUGAACAUUGUUAGUGUUAUACUAUAUCGAUCUAAAAAAGAAACACUAUAUUAAAAAAAGAACACAUCAAUACUCAAGAGUUAAGUUAUUUUAGUUAAUAUUAAUUGGGAAGUAUCGGGGCAGAUACCGGUGUAGGAUAAUGAUCGGAUACUCUCCUGAUACGUAUCG
Molecule: long non-coding RNA, 335 nt
Filed under: Medicago truncatula (barrel medic)
Lineage: Eukaryota; Viridiplantae; Streptophyta; Magnoliopsida; Fabales; Fabaceae
Description: long non-coding RNA (MTRU_LNC004979)
Source: RNAcentral